UGCCAGCCGCCGCGGUAACACGGGGGGCGCAAGCGUUAUUCGGAAUUAUUGGGCGUAAAGCGCGUGUAGGCGGUUCGUUAAGUCUGAUGUGAAAUCCCGGGGCUCAACCCCGGAACUGCCUUCGAUACUGGCAGCCUAGAGAUCUGGAGAGGCGAGUGGAAUUCCGAGUGUAGAGGUGAAAUUCGUAGAUAUCAGGAGGAACACCGAUGGCGAAGGCAUCUCUCUGGGCCGAUAUUGACGCUGAGGCGCGAAGGCGUGGGUAGCGAACGGGAUUAGAUA
RNAcentral lists this ribosomal RNA (279 nucleotides) under uncultured bacterium. RNAcentral's name for it is "partial 16S ribosomal RNA". It matches the Rfam family "Bacterial small subunit ribosomal RNA", at positions 506 to 784 of the family's 1533-position model. The record is from RNAcentral.